Molecule: ribosomal RNA, 253 nt
Filed under: uncultured bacterium
Lineage: Bacteria
Description: partial 16S ribosomal RNA
Rfam family: Bacterial small subunit ribosomal RNA
Source: RNAcentral
UACGUAGGGUGCGAGCGUUAAUCGGAAUUAUUGGGCGUAAAGAGCUCGUAGGCGGUUUGUCGCGUCUGCUGUGAAAACUCGGGGCUUAACCCCGGGCCUGCAGUGGGUACGGGCAGACUAGAGUGCGGUAGGGGAGACUGGAAUUCCUGGUGUAGCGGUGAAAUGCGCAGAUAUCAGGAGGAACACCGGUGGUGUAGACGGCUUUCUGGACCGUAACUGACGCUGAGACACGAAAGCGUGGGUAGCAAACAGG